RNAcentral lists this long non-coding RNA (1773 nucleotides) under Anas platyrhynchos platyrhynchos (common mallard). Its description in RNAcentral is "lncRNA (ENSAPLG00000024114.1)". The record is from RNAcentral. Lineage: Eukaryota; Metazoa; Chordata; Aves; Anseriformes; Anatidae.
UCAUUGGAUGAACAAGCUGAAGUAAAUCAUGUGUUGACUUCGAAGCAUUUAUAAACUGUAGAACAUUAUAUUCUCAUCAGAGCCAUAGGGGCAGUAAACUAUAGUUUCUCUGUUGUGAAACAUGGUUUUGGUUAUGCACUGUGUUACUAGGGUUGUACUUAAACAAUAAUACAUCAUUUGUGGCACAUGUCGCCUUCUUUAUUGAAAGGCAAAACAAAGAGUUGAGGACAAAAAUCAUUACUACUUUAGCAAUUUUUCACAAAAUGCUUUUCUUUUGUACUUGACACACAGAUGGGACAUUGUACUGCAGUGCAAAUGAUGUAUAGCAGCAUGACAAAUUUCAUUUCCUUUAUAAAACAAGAAUCAGAAUAGUGGACGAAUUUGGAGAAAUGGUGUUAACUUUUUUUGCUAGUGUUAAAAUAAAUAGGAGAAUAAAUACAAAGUAAAAGAAAAAAAAGAGGUCUGCUCUGAAGGAAAAAUUCCUCUGGGAAACAAUUUGAGUCCUUUAAUUGUCUUGGAAGAUAUUGAUUAAAGUGCUUAAAUGAAAAUAUUGAAAACAAUAAACUCACUUGUGUUGGCUUUUGUAUUACCUUGAUAGUGAUAAUCCAUGGCCAAGGAAGAAAUUAACACAAGGUGAUACACAGAAGCUGGACUGAGAGAAACAAUAGAAGAUCAGUUUCGAGGAAAGCAAAGUAUAUUCUUAGCUCUGCUUUCUGUCAUAGAUUCUUCAGUGCUUCAAACAUGCUUUCUGGAUGUCUUUGGUGUCUGUAUGUACCAUCUUUCCCUCCAGCAAGAUGAAAGAUGCCUGACUAAAAGAAAUCCCAGGCUGAGAAACCUUGGUCCCUCUGUUGUUGCAGGUAAGGACUAAGAAAACGCUGCGUCACUAGGACAUCUUAAAAACCUAGAGGGACUGGUGGGGUAAUUGCUUCUUCUGUCUUCUAACUUAUUGUAGGUAGAAAUUUUUGUUCUCCUAGUGCAGACAUCUAAACUAAAUGAGAUCAGCCUUUUCAUUGACUCAGCAGCAGGAUUUGUCCCCAGAAUUAUUACUAUCUCCUUGAUUUAAAAUUUUCACUUUAUACAUUUGCUAUUUUUUAAAUUUUAUCAUUAGUCUUUUUAACUCUGUUACAUUGAAGUAGCUUGGUAUUGUGCCAUGUUUUUUGUUCUUGUUUUUCUUUUGUUUUGGUUUUGGUAGUGCUCAUCCAUUCCUGUCAGGGAACUUCAGAUAACUGAGACAUCAGACAAGGAAAAAUUGGAUCGUCUGUAAUUGUAUAGUUGGGAGCAGUUGGAAUAGUUGUAAUCACAUACAUUAGCUGCUAAAGUGCCUAUCAGGGAGUUCAACUAGAAGGAGAAUCUUGACAAUAGUAUUGAGGAGGUGAGAUCCCAAGGAUCACAAAGGAUACAGGAAAAGCUAAUAAUAAUUGUAUUUUGGAUCCAGAGAAAGAAAAGGUGUCAGGCAAAAAAAUAUGCUUCACAGAAGCUGUAUCUGCUUUCUAUAGGAAGAUGGAACAAGUCAGGACCAAGCCCUGUGAUAGCCAUAAACUGCCAGCUGUGGCAAAAAUCAUAUGAAUUAUAACUUGCUAUGGCUCGUUGUAUGUUGAUGCAUAAUGGAUAAUAAUUUAAUGAGAACCAGUCUUCAUUUGUUUUCCUUUUGAUAUACAGCUACACACCUAAGACAGUCUUGACCUCAUAGCACUUGCUAAUAUCCAACCAUAGUCUAGGAAUUAGUACAGAGCAGUGAACCCCAAGCUUCAAAAUGAGCAGCGUGUCAGGAGU